GACCACUUUGCCUAGAGGUAAGGCACCCAAGCAGUAUUAGGUAGUCUUCCUUUCCUGUUAUCUGGGGAAGGUGGGUUCGAAUCCCGCAGUGGUCA
This is a non-coding RNA of Mycena crocata, 95 nucleotides long. Lineage: Eukaryota; Fungi; Basidiomycota; Agaricomycetes; Agaricales; Mycenaceae. The record is from the annotation of a GenBank genome assembly.